AUUGAACGCUGGCGGCAGGCCUAACACAUGCAAGUCGAGCGAGCGGCGGACGGGUGAGUAAUGUAUGGGGACUGCCCGAUAGAGGGGGAUAACUACUGGAAACGGUAGCUAAUACCGCAUACUAUCGGAUAACCCAUAUGGGAUUAGCUAGUAGGUGAGGUAAUGGUUCACCUAGGCGACGAUCCCUAGCUGGUCUGAGAGGAUGAUCAGCAACACUGGGACUGAGACACGGCCCAGACGCCUACGGAGGCAGCAGGGGGGAAUAUUGCAUAAUGGACGCAAGCCUGAUGCAGCCAUGCCGCGUGUAGGAAGAAGGCCCUAGGGUUGUAAAGUGCUUUCAGUCGGGAGGCGUUACCGACAGAAGAAGCACCGGCUAACUCCGUGCCAGCAGCCGCGGUAAUUC
This 403-nucleotide ribosomal RNA is filed under the name uncultured bacterium. RNAcentral describes it as "partial 16S ribosomal RNA". It matches the Rfam family "Bacterial small subunit ribosomal RNA", at positions 30 to 526 of the family's 1533-position model. The record is from RNAcentral.